Ictidomys tridecemlineatus (thirteen-lined ground squirrel) is the source of this 102-nucleotide non-coding RNA. The record is from Rfam. NCBI's taxonomy places the organism in Eukaryota, Metazoa, Chordata, Mammalia, Rodentia, Sciuridae.
AUCCUCCGGUUCUUAAGUGUGAUGAUUGGGUGUUCACACUCUUGUGUGAGAUAUCCCUCCCUCUAAGCCUUGUUACAAUAUCAGCACAUUGCUUGACUGACG